Molecule: ribosomal RNA, 531 nt
Filed under: Haliotis diversicolor diversicolor
Lineage: Eukaryota; Metazoa; Mollusca; Gastropoda; Lepetellida; Haliotidae
Description: partial 16S ribosomal RNA
Rfam family: Bacterial large subunit ribosomal RNA
Source: RNAcentral
GGCUCUUCGGUUAUUAAUUAAAUGAGGAGUCGGACCUGCCCGGUGACCUACGGGUUAAACGGCCGCGGUACACUGACCGUGCAAAGGUAGCACAAUCACUUGCCCUUUAAUUAGAGGCUGGUAUGAAUGGUUUGACGAGGGUUGAGCUGUCUCUUUUGGAAUAUUUAAAAAUUAACUUCUAGGUGAAAAGGCCUAGAUUGAGCUGAGGGACGAGAAGACCCUGUUGAGCUUUAGUGUUGGGUAGAGAGUGGCAUUUCUAUUACUAAUAGAAAGUUUAGAUUUACUUUUACAUCUUUAGUUGGGGUGACUAGGGAACAUGGAUAGCUUCUCUGUUGUUUGUUUUACUUAAUUUGGUGGACUGACUGGUGAUCCAGCAUUGUUGAUUAUCGGAAAAAGUUACCACAGGGAUAACAGCGUAAUCUUUCUGGAGAGUUCACAUUGAAAGAAGGGUUUGCGACCUCGAUGUUGGAUUAAGGUGUCCUGAGGGUGUAGCAGCUUUCGUUGGUUGGUCUGUUCGACCAUUAAAACCUU